RNAcentral lists this long non-coding RNA (1356 nucleotides) under Marmota monax (woodchuck). The record is from RNAcentral. Lineage: Eukaryota; Metazoa; Chordata; Mammalia; Rodentia; Sciuridae.
AGUCCAAGAUCUGGUUGUCCCAUCAGUUCAACCUCUGCAAGGACCUCAUAGCAGAUGGCAUUAGAAUGGAAGGAGUAUGCAUACAUAAGAGAUUACAUGGCAAGACUAGAAGCCACAGAGAGAUUCAGGGACCAAGUUUGCCCUUUUAUAACUUACUCUGGCAAGAAUUCAUUCCAUAAUAUCAGAAUUAAUUCCUCUGGCAGUACCCCCAGGAACCUAGUCAUCAUGCACUAAGCCCCUACCUCCUUUUUUUUUUAAAUUUUUGGGUACUGGUGAUUGAAUCCAGAGGUGCUCAAGCCACAUCCCUAGUUCUUUUUUUUUGAGACAGGGUUUUGCUAAGUUGCUGAGGCUGUCCUCAAAGUUGUGAUCCUUCUGCCUGAGCCUCCCAAAAUGUUGGGAUUAAGGCACGCCCCACUGCAUCUGACCUAAUAAAUUCCAUCUCUUGAAAGUCCUGCCACCUCUUAAGGCUGCCAUAUUGGAACUAAGCCUCCAAUAAGUGAGCCUUUGGGGGCAAACCACAUACAAACUAUGGUAAUAACUAUUUUUCAACCUAUUUAUCACCUCUUUGUCAACUUGAACCAAUUGAAUAUAUUUGAUAGCAACAACAAAAAGCAACAGUUUAUUAUUUGACAUAAAGGUAUGUAUUAUGUACUUAUUAAAUAACUGGUACUUGUCUCAAUAUCUUAAAUGUUUUAAUUCAGCAAACCCCUAGAAGGAUACUGCUAUUAGCCCCAUACAAACAAUGAAAUUUAGACAUGAAAAUUAAAUAAUUUAACCAUAGUCACACAGCUUGAAAGGAAGAAGCUGGAAUUCAGAUUUAAAUAAUCUGGCUCCAGACCAAGGUUUCUCAUCCUUAGCACUUGUGACAUUUAGGGCCAAAUAAUCCUUUUGUUGUUGGAGUCAUCCUCUGUAUUGUAGAAUAUUUAGCAGCAAUCCCUACUGGAUGCUAGGAGUUUUCCCAACCAAAUUAUGAUGACCAAAUAACUCUAGCCAUUGCCAAAUGUUUCCUUGAGCAUGGGAUGGCACAAUCACCCUGGUUAAGUCUUGUCUAGAACAACCCCUACUCAUGUUAUGUAGAAACUCCUUAUAUAAAUUACCUCUUGAAGUCACACAAUGGAAAUAUGGAAAGCUAGACUAUAACAUAAAAUUCACCUAUAGCCUUCCCCUUUAUUUUGCUUGUACUACUCAUUUUCAUACUGUUUAAAAGGAAUCUUAGACUUGGAAAUGGCAGAAACUCAUUCUUUUAAUGGGAACUUAUGGCAGACAUAGCAAUCUACUAUUUCUAUUGCUCUUGAUAUUCUUACUCUUAGCAGGAGAGUUAGGCCCAGCCCAAGGGGAAUGGUGCAGAUAAGAUAG